UACGUAGGGGGCAAGCGUUGUCCGGAAUCAUUGGGCGUAAAGAGCGUGUAGGCGGCCCGAUAAGUCCGCUGUGAAAACUCGAGGCUCAACCUCGAGACGCCGAUGGAAACCAUCUGGCUAGAGUCCGGAAGAGGAGAGUGGAAUUCCUGGUGUAGCGGUGAAAUGCGCAGAUAUCAGGAAGAACACCCGUGGCUAAGGCGGCUCUCUAGUACGGUACUGACGCUGAGACGCGAAAGCGUGGGGAGCGAACAGG
This 253-nucleotide ribosomal RNA is filed under the name uncultured bacterium. RNAcentral's name for it is "partial 16S ribosomal RNA". It matches the Rfam family "Bacterial small subunit ribosomal RNA", at positions 524 to 776 of the family's 1533-position model. The record is from RNAcentral.